GGAUGAACGCUAGCUACAGGCUUAACACAUGCAAGUCGAGGGGCAGCAUGAACAAGCUUGCUAUCUUGGGUGGCGACCGGCGCACGGGUGAGUAACGCGUAUCCAACUGCCCAUUACUCUGGGAUAGCCUUGCGAAAGUAAGAUUAAUACCGGAUGUUGUUAAAAACCCGCAUGAGUUUUUAACCAAAGAUUUAUUGGUAAUGGAUGGGGAUGCGUGACAUUAGGUAGUAGGUGAGGUAACGGGCUCACCUAGCCGACGAUGUCUAGGGGUUCUGAGAGGAAGGUCCCCCACACUGGAACUGAGACACGGUCCAGACUCCUACGGGAGGCAGCAGUGAGGAAUAUUGGUCAAUGGACGAGAGUCUGAACCAGCCAAGUAGCGUGCAGGAUGACGGCCCUCUGGGUUGUAAACUGCUUUUAGUUGGGAAUAAAAAGAGGGACGUGUCCCUAAUUGUAUGUACCAUCAGAAAAAGGACCGGCUAAUUCCGUG
This 490-nucleotide ribosomal RNA is filed under the name uncultured bacterium. RNAcentral's name for it is "bacterial SSU rRNA". It matches the Rfam family "Bacterial small subunit ribosomal RNA", at positions 27 to 507 of the family's 1533-position model. The record is from RNAcentral.